GGAUGAACGCUGGCGGCGUGCUUAAUACAUGCAAGUCGAACGAGGGCUUCCUUGUAGCAAUACGAGGGAUUCCUAGUGGCGAAUGGGUGAGUAACACGUAGGUGACCUGCCCUGAAGUGGGGAAUAACAGCUCGAAAGGGCUGCUAAUACCGCAUACGGUCUCGAGAGUUAGAGGUCUUGAGUCCAAAGGCUGCGCAAGCGGUCGCUUCAGGAGGGGCCUGCGGUCCAUCAGCUAGCUGGCAGGGUAACGGCCUACCAGGGCGAUGACGGAUAGGGGGCCUGAGAGGGUGAUCCCCCACACUGGCACUGAAACACGGGCCAGACACCUGCGGGUGGCAGCAGUAGGGAAUAUUGUGCAAUGGACGAAAGUCUGACACAGCAACGCCGCGUGCGCGAUGAAGGCCUUCGGGUUGUAAAGCGCUUUUCGGGGGGAGGAGAAAGGACCGUACCCCCGGAAGAAGUCACGGCUAACUACGUGCCAGCAGCCGCGGUAAGUCGUAGGUGACGAGCGUUAUCCGGAUUUACUGGGCGUAAAGCGCGUGCAGGCGACGCGGCAAGUCGGGCAUGAAAGCUCCUGGCUCAACCGGGAGAGGUUGCCCGAUACUUCCGCGCUCGAGGGCAGGAGAGGAAAGGCGGAAUUCCGGGUGUAGUGGUGAAAUGCGUAGAGAUCCGGAGGAACACCAGUGGCGAAAGCGGCCUUUCUGGUCUGCUCCUGACGCUAAGACGCGAAAGCCAGGGUAGCGAACGGGAUUAGAAACCCCGGUAGUCCUGGCCGUAAACGAUGUCAACCAGGUGUGGGUGGUAUUGACCCCAUCCGUGCCGAAGCUAACGCGUUAAGUUGACCGCCUGAGGACUACGGCCGCAAGGCUAAAACUCAAAGGAAUUGACGGGGGCCCGCACAAGCAGCGGAGCGUGUGGUUCAAUUCGAGGUUACGCGAAGAACCUUACCAGGGGUUGAUAUGCAAGUAGUAGUGAAGCGAAAGCGGAACGACCCUUCGGGGAGCUUGCACAGGUGAUGCAUGGCUGUCGUCAGCUCGUGCCGUGAGGUGUUUGGUUAAGUCCACUAACGAGCGCCACCCUUGCCGCGUGUUACAUGUGUCACGCGGGACUGCCGGUAUCAAGCCGGAGGAAGGCGGGGAUGAAGUCAAGUCAGCAUGUCCUUUGCUCCUGGGCUACACACACGCUACAAUGGCUGGUACAAUGGGUCGCAAUGCCGCGAGGCGAAGCCAAUCCUCCAAAACCAGUCUCAGUUCGGAUUGCAGGCUGCAACUCGCCUGCAUGAAGUCGGAGUUGCUAGUAAACGCAGGACAGCUAUACUGCGUUGAAUACGUUCCCGGGCCUUGUACACACCGCCC
RNAcentral lists this ribosomal RNA (1355 nucleotides) under uncultured bacterium. RNAcentral's name for it is "bacterial SSU rRNA". It matches the Rfam family "Bacterial small subunit ribosomal RNA", at positions 27 to 1395 of the family's 1533-position model. The record is from RNAcentral.